ACCGCAAAACAAGCAGAGGGGGCUUAGUGGUGGGGUGACUGCGUACCUUUUGUAUAAUGGGUCAGCGACUUAUAUUCUGUAGCAAGGUUAACCGAAUAGGGGAGCCGGAGGGAAACCGAGUCUUAAUUGGGCGUUAAGUUGCAGGGUAUAGACCCGAAACCCGGUGAUCUAGCCAUGGGCAGGUUGAAGGUUGGGUAACACUAACUGGAGGACCGAACCGACUAAUGUUGAAAAAUUAGCGGAUGACCUGUGGCUGGGGGUGAAAGGCCAAUCAAACCGGGAGAUAGCUGGUUCUCCCCGAAAGCUAUUUAGGUAGCGCCUCGUGAAUUCAUCUCCGGGGGUAGAGCACUGUUUCGGCUAGGGGGCCAUCCCGGCUUACCAACCCGAUGCAAACUGCGAAUACCGGAGAAUGUUAUCACGGGAGACACACGGCGGGUGCUAACGUCCGUCGUGAAGAGGGAAACAACCCAGACCGCCAGCUAAGGUCCCAAAGUCAUGGUUAAGUGGGAAACGAUGUGGGAAGGCCCAGACAGCCAGGAUGUUGGCUUAGAAGCAGCCAUCAUUUAAAGAAAGCGUAAUAGCUCACUGGUCGAGUCGGCCUGCGCGGAAGAUGUAACGGGGCUAAACCAUGCACCGAAGCUGCGGCAGCGAACGUAUCACUUAAAGCGAUUCAGCGGGUUACGAUUGACGGAGCGAAGCGACGUCAAAGCGUAUACAAAGUCGAGUCGGUUUAAGGAUACGUUCGUUGGGUAGGGGAGCGUUCUGUAAGCCUGCGAAGGUGGCCUGUGAGGGUUGCUGGAGGUAUCAGAAGUGCGAAUGCUGACAUAAGUAACGAUAAAGCGGGUGAAAAGCCCGCUCGCCGGAAGACCAAGGGUUCCUGUCCAACGUUAAUCGGGGCAGGGUGAGUCGACCCCUAAGGCGAGGCCGAAAGGCGUAGUCGAUGGGAAACGGGUUAAUAUUCCC
RNAcentral lists this ribosomal RNA (963 nucleotides) under Salmonella enterica subsp. enterica serovar Anatum. Its description in RNAcentral is "partial 23S ribosomal RNA". It matches the Rfam family "Bacterial large subunit ribosomal RNA", at positions 566 to 1440 of the family's 2925-position model. The record is from RNAcentral. Lineage: Bacteria; Pseudomonadati; Pseudomonadota; Gammaproteobacteria; Enterobacterales; Enterobacteriaceae.